UGGUCGCCAACGAGUGGCGGACGGGUGAGUAACACGUAGGUAACCUGCCCAGAAGCGGGGGACAACAUUUGGAAACAGAUGCUAAUACCGCAUAACAACGUUGUUCGCAUGAACAACGCUUAAAAGAUGGCUUCUCGCUAUCACUUCUGGAUGGACGUGCGGUGCAUUAGCUUGUUGGUGGGGUAAUGGCCUACCAAGGGCGAUGAUGCAUAGCCGAGUUGAGAGACUGAUCGGCCACAAUGGGACUGAGACACGGCCCAUACUCCUACGGGAGGCAGCAGUAGGGAAUCUUCCACAAUGGGCGCAAGCCUGAUGGAGCAACACCGCGUGAGUGAAGAAGGGUUUCGGCUCGUAAAGCUCUGUUGUUAAAGAAGAACACGUAUGAGAGUAACUGUUCAUACGUUGACGGUAUUUAACCAGAAAGUCACGGCUAACUACGUGCCAGCAGCCGCGGUAAUACGUAGGUGGCAAGCGUUAUCCGGAUUUAUUGGGCGUAAAGAGAGUGCAGGCGGUUUUCUAAGUCUGAUGUGAAAGCCUUCGGCUUAACCGGAGAAGUGCAUCGGAAACUGGAUAACUUGAGUGCAGAAGAGGGUAGUGGAACUCCAUGUGUAGCGGUGGAAUGCGUAGAUAUAUGGAAGAACACCAGUGGCGAAGGCGGCUACCUGGUCUGCAACUGACGCUGAGACUCGAAAGCAUGGGUAGCGAACAGGAUUAGAUACCCUGGUAGUCCAUGCCGUAAACGAUGAGUGCUAGGUGUUGGAGGGUUUCCGCCCUUCAGUGCCGGAGCUAACGCAUUAAGCACUCCGCCUGGGGAGUACGACCGCAAGGUUGAAACUCAAAGGAAUUGACGGGGGCCCGCACAAGCGGUGGAGCAUGUGGUUUAAUUCGAAGCUACGCGAAGAACCUUACCAGGUCUUGACAUCUUGCGCCAACCCUAGAGAUAGGGCGUUUCCUUCGGGAACGCAAUGACAGGUGGUGCAUGGUCGUCGU
Molecule: ribosomal RNA, 990 nt
Filed under: Limosilactobacillus fermentum
Lineage: Bacteria; Bacillati; Bacillota; Bacilli; Lactobacillales; Lactobacillaceae
Description: bacterial SSU rRNA
Rfam family: Bacterial small subunit ribosomal RNA
Source: RNAcentral